RNAcentral lists this small RNA (28 nucleotides) under Bombyx mori (domestic silkworm). RNAcentral describes it as "piRNA piR-bmo-2147225". Lineage: Eukaryota; Metazoa; Arthropoda; Insecta; Lepidoptera; Bombycidae. The record is from RNAcentral.
UGCAAAAAAAUAGACUGGAUCUUUUGAU